This 545-nucleotide ribosomal RNA is filed under the name uncultured archaeon. RNAcentral describes it as "bacterial SSU rRNA". It matches the Rfam family "Archaeal small subunit ribosomal RNA", at positions 333 to 878 of the family's 1478-position model. The record is from RNAcentral.
CAGCAGGCGCGAAAACUUUACAAUGCGGGAAACCGUGAUAAGGGGACACCGAGUGCCAGCAUCAUAUGCUGGCUGUCCGGGUGUGUAAAAUACACCCGUUAGCAAGGGCCGGGCAAGACCGGUGCCAGCCGCCGCGGUAACACCGGCGGCCCGAGUGGUGAUCGUGAUUAUUGGGUCUAAAGGGUCCGUAGCCGGUUUGGUCAGUCCUCCGGGAAAUCUGACGGCUCAACCGUUAGGCUUUCGGGGGAUACUGCCAGGCUUGGAACCGGGAGAGGUAAGAGGUGCUACAGGGGUAGGAGUGAAAUCUUGUAAUCCCUGUGAGACCACCUGUGGCGAAGGCGUCUUACCAGAACGGGUUCGACGGUGAGGGACGAAAGCUGGGGGCACGAACCGGAUUAGAUACCCGGGUAGUCCCAGCCGUAAACGAUGCUCGCUAGGUGUCAGGCAUGGCGCGACCGUGUCUGGUGCCGCAGGGAAGCCGUGAAGCGAGCCACCUGGGAAGUACGGCCGCAAGGCUGAAACUUAAAGGAAUUGGCGGGGGAGCC